AUAAUUUGGUUAUUGGCCUUUGGCACAGACCUGUUGGAAUCUCCUCAUCAGCACUGAUGGAGUACAGGAUUAGGAUAAGCAGUUUAAGGGUUUCACCAACCUGUGCUUUAUGAAGUCUACUUUUCUAUGAGGUUGUUUUUUUUUAAUAUAAAAAACAGUGCUGUUUAUUUCAUACAGAAAAACAUCCUAAAGGGAAUUUUUUUUUCACUGUGUUCUUUACAUAAAUGCUACCUACUCUUUCUGUUUGUAGCUAAUGUAUGUAGGGGAAGCUCUUGUUUGCUGGGAAAAGCACAAUAUCAGGAUGCACACUUUGGGCUUGGGGUUUUGGGACACAAUAGGCACAACUGCAAUGGGACUCCAGGUACAAACAUACACAAAUGCUGAUUCCUGGUGUGUUCUUGGGCUUGGUUGGUUUUGUAUAUAUGCAAUAGUCAUAGAAUAAAACAGCAGACACUUUUACAGAAGACCAAGUUUAUGUUCACUGAAUAUAAUUCUCAAAAGCCUGCAUAUUUUUCUCAGCAGGUAAUAAUUGGAUGUAAAUGAUAAAGAUGUAGCAUUGGCUCCUCAGAAAUCCUGUAAUAUUCUGGUCAAAACUUGCAGUGUAACAUACUGUGUGUGUUAAGCUCUGAUAUUUUACUUAUUUAAAAGCAUACUUAUAUACAUAUAUAUAAGCAUAUACUUAUUUAAAAGCAUAUGUGCUGCUAGUCAGGUAAAAGAGAUACUUAAGGAAAAUCAAAAACCUGAUUAAAAUUCUAUAAGGACUUGGUUUUGUAAAGUGAGCUGAGACAUACACACCAUUAAAUAGUCACAAAAAUUGUCAGUACUAAUAAAUAUUCACUUGUUUUGACAUUUUUUUGUAUACAGAAUUGAAAUAAAUAUUUUUUUAACAUCUAAAGCUAUUCGGUUUUAAUUGCAGUAAUUAAUAAGGUGUAAUGACAGAGCUGCUGCCAUGUUAGAAAUUAAGACUUGUGAUACCAAGGGGGUAGAUUUAUUGUAUUGGGACUAACUUUGUUUCUUUUUAAUUGAGGGGAAGUUUUGGGGCUAGAUUAUUGAAAAGUUCUGCUACUUACAGUAUUUGUAGGUUUGUAGGAAGGUUUAUUAACACCUGCUCAUUGCAGGUGGGUUGGACUGGAUGGCCUUUAAAGGCUCCUUCCAUCCCAAACUAUUCUGUGAGUCCUCAGCAGGAUAUUUGCCAUUAAAAUCCCAGUGAAUUUAGGUUCAGAGCACUGCUGAGGGCAGAAUUGGCAGAUAAAUCCUCAGUGUGCUCUGUGCACUUGGUCUCUUCAGGGACAAGAAUUAAAGGCAGUUACCCAGGUGGGUGUUGGACCUUGCUUUUUCUCUGGCCCUGGUCACUGCCUGACCGGUAAGGGUUCUUGAAGCAAAUGUAGCUUUGUAUAAAAUAUUUCAGCAUCUGCAGUUUGAUUGCUUUGUUGUAGGAUUUGUGAAUUCUUCUGAGUUUUUUGUACUUCCUCUAAACUCUGUGAUCAGGUACCAUGUAAGAAAUUCCACUCCCUAAUUAAUCCUAAUCAGCAGACUUGUUAAUAGGCACAUUCUUGAAAUUUAAUGGUUGAACAACCUAACAUAUUGCUGUUAAUAAAUAAGGGUUUCUCACAUCCCAGAAUUAAGAUGUGAUGAAAUAACUGUGUUUAGCUUUUAAAAUUCUUUUCCCUCUUCCAUCUUGUCUUUAAGCACAGGCAAAGUCUGUGGUUUUAUGUCAGUGUGCUGUUUUCCCUGGCAGCACCACUUCUCCUAAAGGGAAAAAAUGGCCCCUAAAAUACCAAGAAAACAGUUUUUAUACAGACAAAUAGGUUGUAGUCACUUUCUCUGGCCAUGCCUUGCUCUGUUUAAUGAUGAUACCCCUAUGUGCCAAGUGUGUAUAUGCUGUUAUAUAAUAACAGAGAGCUGCUGAACCUUUGAAGCUGCUGCUUCUCCCCAGAGCUGCACUCCAGAGGUGUGAGCCUGGAUUUGGCCUGGCACAGUGGACAGCUUGGGAAGGAGUUUGGGUCCAGCUGCCCUCCCUGCUGUUGGGAGGGAUGGGAAUGGGGGUUGCUCUCAUUUUCCCCUCUGAUUCCAUGGCUGAGGAAUUGUGCCCAUUUUGGCUCAGCACUGAGGGACUGUGUGGAUCACACUUCCAAACAACAGCUGGAGAGCAGAUUCUGGUGUUUGUGCUGUGGCUUCUGGAGUGUGCAGACAUGAAGGACAGAAUCAUUGCAUGGGUUUAUUAUAAGCUUCUCAUUGUUCCCUAUAUAAAAAAAAUUAUUUCUUAUUUCUUACCAGAUUUCAGAAGGCAAGAAAAUAUUAACACUUCUGAGCUUUCAGUCAUAGGAGCUAUUUCUGAAGGUGUGUCAAGCUUCCUAGAAGUCUUACAAUAAAUUCAGAUAUCCAUUUAAUCUUUGAGGAGCUGGAAAAAUGGAAGAAAGACAGACAGUUUUUCCACACAAAUCUGAUAUGGUUUGGGCAUUCUCCACUUAAGUGAAAUGAAAUGAACUUCAAUGAAAGCAUCCCUUUGGAGUGAUGUUUGUCAUGCACAUGGAAUACUAAAUUCUGGAAAAGUUCUUGUUUUCCUGUGUACUGAAACUUUGUUUUGCCAAGCUGAACCUUGAUGUCAGUGAGUUCAUUCCAACUCUUGCUAUAAACCAAGCAGGAGUAACACAGGGACACAACAGAGAGUCUCUAUGGUAGUACCUUACUGCAGGUCUUCCUUCUUGGAAACCCUUGGUUGGGAUUUUCCUCACGUUCUGCAUUUCUACUUCAGUGAAUCUGUGGAAAACAUUUAAAUAUGUGGAAUUUCAAAUCCCAUGAAGCUCAGGCCUGUUUUUGUGAAGCAGUGGGGCAGUGUGUGGUCAAGCAUGAGGUGAGCUGUGCUGUGAGGUGAGUGAGCUGCCUUACAUGAAGGAGCUGUAUUUGUUGGACAGGUUCACUCCAGAAUGAUAAAUAUGGAGUUGUUUUUACUUUGCACUUAUAAAAUGUCACCUCUAAUUGAACUUCCAGUACCUUCUGGAACAUCUGGAUGAAGUGACUAGGAAAGGGGAAAGCUGUUAAAUAUGAAUAUGGAGCAGCAUCUGUUGGAGUGCUGCUGGGGAUUUUUUUCUCCACCUGGCUAGUUUUCCAGAGGGUUCAGGUGGGUGGAAUUUCAGCAGCUGUUUUUGUUUUUUGGUCAGUUAAAAAUGCUGAUUUCUGAAAUCAGAUCCAGUCAUGAAAUAGAUCUCCAGUUUGAUGAAGCAAUUGCUUCACCUGCUGGAAAGUUCUUACCAGAGCUGACAGAAUUUUUUUAUUGUUUUGAAGACUGAUGAGCUCUGUCCUUGCCUGACUGCUGCCUCUCACAGCUGGCUUUGGAGAGAUCCUUUUUCUUGCAAACAACUGUUCCCCAUUACAGCUCCUCCCCAUGGCCUUGGAUGGUUGUUUUCUGUCUUGCUCAGACAUUCUAAUGCAAGUCAAGCCUUAGAACAGAAGUCCUCAUCUGUGCAGCAUUUGUCUGUGCAUGGCCACUGAGCAGUUACAAGUUCCUUAAGGAUUGCCUGGAAGGGCUGGGAGUCUGGGGUGUUGGUCUGAAGUGGCCAUGUGGAAUAACAGAAACCAAGUCCCAGCUGGCUGUGGUUUAUGUUCUGAAUCUGGGUGAUAGUACAAGCCAGAGCUUUGCUGAGGGCUGCUGGUGUGGCCCCACAUGAUGUGUUGGAGCACUGGCACAGUCUCUGCUGCCUGGCCCUGUGUGCCCAGAGCAGGUGUGGUGCAGAGCACAUUCAAUGUACUCCAGAGUGUGCUUUAAAGCUUUAGGGAGAUCCUUCUCAAAGAAGUGAGCUAUCUGGGUUAAUGGAUAAAAGGUUUGCUUAAUUUCCCUUAAAUAUAGGCAAAAAAUGUAUGGACUGUAGGAAAUCUGGUGUUUGACUGUUUUGAUACUACUUUUGUUUUCCUCUGGUGCUCAUGAACCAGCCAAAGUAGGAGAAAGGGGUUUUUUUGGUUAAGAGUUUACCCUGGAAUAAUCCCUGGACCAGUUUUAAACUUGCUGCACAAAAUAAAGUGAUUCUGGGGAUGAUCCAUACCAGUGCAAGUACUGUCACAAAAGGACUGCAGCCCAUGGAGCAACAAUGUCAGAGCACAGGAAGAGUGAGAAGGCAGGUGCAGCACAGAGAAGCCACUUUGUACCUGGAACAAAACCUGCCCCAAGAAGCUUCUGGCUGCCCCCUGCCUCACUGAAGGGACUGACUGACAAUUGCUGUGGCAACAAGGGAGCAGAGCAGGGCCUGGAGUGAGUUGACCCUGCGAAACUUGGAGGAAAGGAAAGCCACAGCUCCUCCCCAGAGGUUCUCACCUGAAAAGAGGCUGCAGAUGAGUGAUGGAGGAGCUGGUGAGCACGGUGAGGUGAGGCUCAUAAACGAGACCCCAGUGUGGAAUCAGCUAAAUGCACUCAGGAAAUGGGGCCAUCACCUGAGCCCCUGGGUGUUUGUUCCUGUGACUGUGAGCAGCAGCUGCAGCUCCCAGCCCUUUGCCUUUGGCUGAGGCCUUUUUGGAAACACAGCAUGCACACCUUGGAGAACAGGUGCCUAAGCACUGGUGCUCCUCUCCACCCACUGCUUUCUUCCCACAGGAAGCUCCUGAGCUGCUCAGCCCCUGGCAGAGUCGAGACUUUGGGGCUUGUGUCAGACUGGAGAGCUGCUCUUCCCUGCUUGUGGGAUACUGCCCCAGGAGGGGAUGGAACUCCUGCAUACGGAUCAAUGGCAGGGAUUGGCCCCUGCUCCAGUGUCAGGUCUGACAGGUGCAGUCAGGAGUGACCCAAGGUGUGCCCUGUCCCAGCAGACACAGGACCAGAGGGAAAUGUUCCCUGGCACAGUGGGAAUGCCCCAGGAGGGCUCCUGACCCUUGCCCAGGGGAAAGAGCACAGUCAGUCGACCACCACAUAGGAACAGCACAUCAGAGAGGUUUGGUUGGUUGUGUCAGGAGGAAGUUGCACAGUCAGAUGUAUUUACACUCGACUGGACUUAUCCUCUGACUGUUUUAUUUUCCUCUGGCUGAGCCUGGAAUGUCUGUUUUUCCUGCUCUUUGAGUUUGUGUAUCCAGCUUUCAAAUUGGCUGAUCAGCCUGUUGUACUCGUGAUGGCUUCAGAGGGAGUUUGCUUUGAAUUAGGACCCUUGGAUGAGGAUUGCAGUUUCCUUGAAAAUCCUUUUGCUGGGGGCACCUCAGUGAACACAAAUUGAAAUGAAAAGUGCUGGAAAAAGCAUUUGAUUCCAUCCUAGUAAAACGUAGCUUUUUUAAGUGGUAAAAGGAGCAUUUGUGGCCUUUCUGCACAUGAUGGAUUCUCCAUUUGCAGUCUGUGUUUUCAGAUGUUUCCCCAUGAUAUAGAACAUUGAGUGGUUCUGGUUUUACAGAUGAAUGAAGGAGUUACAAAUGUGGUUUCAUUUUUUUCAAAAGGUAAUUAGUGCUUUAGGAUAUGAACAGUUUUACAGUUGUGCUUUAAAAAAUAAAAAAGUUUCAGAGUUGUUGUUCUACAAGGAUCUUAAUGGUGAUGGCUUUUUUUUUCUCUUGUGUAUUUACAAACCAAGGCAUAAAAUGAACACAAUUUAUUGUCCUAACAGUUCUUAUAUUUAUCACUCAGAUAAGUUCACCCAUUUUAUCACCAUGUCACUGUGUCUUUUUAAUUAAUAUUAGAAAUUGCUUUGUUUAUUCAGAAACUUGUAUUAGAGUUUAAUAAUUUAAUGUAACUGCUCUUAGAAAUUAAUUGUAAAUAUAAAUACAGGGUUUUACAGAUUUGUUAUCUCAGCUAAUUUUAUUUUCUUACAUAAUCUGCUGUUAAAUGGAUUUGCAGCUUUUAGUUGCAAAUGAAAGCCCAAUUAACAGUUCUUUUAGAGUCUGGUUCAGUACUGCAGUGGUAAAAGACUUUGAUCUUAAUUGUUUUUAUUGUUACAUUAUUUUUUUAACAAUUGCAUUUUUCCCUUCCCUCAGAAACAGCAAGUGCAAGGUUUCUUUAGCUUGGGAAAUUCAGCUACAGGGCUUUGACAUUGGUAUGUUUGCACAUUUCUAUCGGUAUAGAUAAAUACUUAAAAUAUGCCAUGUAAAUAUUCAUCCUGCUGUAAAUGCAGUUUCUAACAGGAAAUCCAUUCUCUUGCACAACAGGUAUGGCAUCCUUGCUCUUCCCAGCUUGACUCAAUCCUCAAACCCACCUUGUUCCCUGUACAUUACAGCAGUGGACUCCAAUGGGACAGAGUUUUGUCUUUUCUUAAUUAUUUUACACCAGAUUUUGCUGCUUGUGUAUGUGUGUACAUGGGUGGAUGAGGCUCAACAGAUCCCUCAUCUUUGUCUCAUUUUUCCACUCCAACAAAGAGAACAGUGCUGCACACUUCUCACACAGAUUCAAACGUGAGCUGCUGUUUAAACCUUUAGCACGUUGCUCAUCCUCCUGUGAGCCUCCCUCUGUAGCUGCCUGCUUUUGGGUUGUUUCUUAGCCGUGCUUCAGGCAUACCUGGCAUCGACUGAUUUUCUUCCUCUGCUCCUGUCCUUCUUUAAGUGUCCCUGACAGGGGGGCUGAUGCAAACUGCAACUCAGGCAUCACGGUGGUCAGCCAGAAACUGUAUUCAUUAGCAAAGAACUGACAUGUUCCCCGCUGGCCCUGGCACUCAAUGAAUGGUGCUGAUCUGAAGUCUUCCAGGCAGCUUCCAGGUGACAUAAGGGACUGUCCACCACCCUGGUCACCAGAUCCAGUGUGCUGGAAAGAGCAAAGAGACAACUUGGUAACCGUGUAUGAAAAAUAGGUAAAUUAUGUUCAUCUGUCUUUUUCCCUACUUACUUUUAACUGUACAGUUUUUUGUAAUCUUAAAUUGGACUUAAGAUUCUUUUGCUGGAGAAAAUCUUAAUUUGCUCUGUAAUAAAUUAAUCUCAAAGUCUCACUUUGAGAGUUAAGUGAA
Parus major (Great Tit) is the source of this 6896-nucleotide long non-coding RNA. RefSeq lists it as uncharacterized. The transcript is spliced from 2 exons. Lineage: Eukaryota; Metazoa; Chordata; Aves; Passeriformes; Paridae. The record is from RefSeq and is a predicted model, not a curated record.